This 761-nucleotide ribosomal RNA is filed under the name uncultured fungus. RNAcentral's name for it is "eukaryotic LSU rRNA". The stretch from base 239 to 393 matches the Rfam family "5.8S ribosomal RNA". The record is from RNAcentral. Lineage: Eukaryota; Fungi.
AGGUUUCCGUAGGUGAACCUGCGGAAGGAUCAUUACUGAGUUGUCGACACGAGUUGUUGCUGGUCCUCAAAUGGGGGCAUGUGCACGCUCUGUUCACACAUCCACUCACACCUGUGCACCCUCUGUAGUUCUAUGGUAUGGUGGACAACACUGUCCUCCUCCUGUAGUUCUGCGUUUUUACACCUACACUGUAGCAAAGUCUUAUGGAAUGUGCGCCGCGUUUAACGCAAUGCAAUACAACUUUCAGCAACGGAUCUCUUGGCUCUCGCAUCGAUGAAGAACGCAGCGAAAUGCGAUAAGUAAUGUGAAUUGCAGAAUUCAGUGAAUCAUCGAAUCUUUGAACGCACCUUGCGCCCCUUGGCUAUUCCGAGGAGCAUGCCUGUUUGAGUAUCAUGAACACCUCAACUCUCACGGUUUGCCGUGAUGAGCUUGGACUUUGGAGGUUUUUGCUGGCCCAUGGUCAGCUCCUCUCAAACGAAUUAGCUUGCCAGUUUUUGGUGGCAUCACAGGUGUGAUAACUAUCUACGCUUGUGGUUGUCCGCUGGGUAACCUUUCGGCGACGGAGGUUUGCUGGAGCUUAUAAACGUCUCUCCUCGGCGAAGACAGCUUUUUGAACGUUUGAUCUCAAAUCAGGUAGGACUACCCGCUGAACUUAAGCAUAUCAAUAAGCGGAGGAAAAGAAACUAACAAGGAUUCCCCUAGUAACUGCGAGUGAAGCGGGAAGAGCUCAAAUUUAAAAUCUGGCGUGCCUCUGGCCGUCC